This 273-nucleotide microRNA precursor is filed under the name Medicago truncatula (barrel medic). Its description in RNAcentral is "miR7697 stem-loop (mtr-MIR7697)". Lineage: Eukaryota; Viridiplantae; Streptophyta; Magnoliopsida; Fabales; Fabaceae. The record is from miRBase by way of RNAcentral.
GGUCCGAUCUAUAUCCGAGAUAUUUGAUCGGAGGCUUGAAAUUUCUUAUCCUUUUUUUUUUUUUUUAUGAUUGUGACAGUUCAUGGGAAGAUGAUCCAUACGGAUGGGUCUCAUCUGGUGACAGUGGAGCUUCACUGAACAGAUAGGUUGCAAAGCACAGGUUAUCAGAUGAUUUCGCUGUAAUGGACAUCUCCCCAUGAACUGUCACAAUCAUAAAAAAAAGGAUAAUAAAUUUCAAGCCUCCGAUCAAAUAGAUCGGAUAUAGAUCGGAUC